CUCGGCCUCUCCUGUCUGGGUGCUCUCCGCAGGAAUCAGUAAUUAAAGCCCCUUGUUUCCAGGAGCAUAGGAUCUCGUGGGGAGGAUGACACUCACAGAACAGGGCCUUCCCUGGUGGCACAGUGGUUAAGAAUCCGCCUGCCAAUGCAGGAGACGUGGGUUCCAUCUCUGGUGCCGGAAGAUCCCACGUGCCUCGGAGCAACUAAGCCCGUGCGACGCAACUACUGAGCCUGCACUCUAGAGCCCGAGAGCCACAACUAUUGAGCCCAUGUGCCACAAGUACUGAAGCUCACGCACCUAGAGGCUGUGCUCUGCAACAAGAGAAGCCACAGCAGUGAGAAGCCCGCGCACCACAAGAAAGAGUAGCUCCCGUUCGCCACAACUAGAGAAAGCCUGCAUGCAUA
Molecule: long non-coding RNA, 404 nt
Organism: Hippopotamus amphibius kiboko
Lineage: Eukaryota; Metazoa; Chordata; Mammalia; Artiodactyla; Hippopotamidae
Exons: 3
Source: RefSeq, a predicted model, not a curated record